AUAAAAAUUAGAUUUGUUACAGAAAUUUUCAGUUGUUUUUUUUAUAUAAAUUCUUGUAGAAGCAUGAAAUGUACGAAAAUUAGUGCAUUUGAAGCGGUCGAACAAUAAACAUUCAUUGUUAC
This is a long non-coding RNA of Bradysia coprophila, 122 nucleotides long. The record is from RefSeq and is a predicted model, not a curated record. Lineage: Eukaryota; Metazoa; Arthropoda; Insecta; Diptera; Sciaridae.